This 621-nucleotide ribosomal RNA is filed under the name Frigoribacterium sp. Ri2Pt_4112. RNAcentral's name for it is "bacterial SSU rRNA". It matches the Rfam family "Bacterial small subunit ribosomal RNA", at positions 395 to 1028 of the family's 1533-position model. The record is from RNAcentral. Lineage: Bacteria; Bacillati; Actinomycetota; Actinomycetes; Micrococcales; Microbacteriaceae.
CGCCGCGUGAGGGAUGACGGCCUAUCGGGUUGUAAACCUCUUUUAGUAGGGAAGAAGCGAAAGUGACGGUACCUGCAGAAAAAGCACCGGCUAACUACGUGCCAGCAGCCGCGGUAAUACGUAGGGUGCAAGCGUUGUCCGGAAUUAUUGGGCGUAAAGAGCUCGUAGGCGGUUUGUCGCGUCUGCUGUGAAAUCUGGGGGCUCAACCCCCAGCCUGCAGUGGGUACGGGCAGACUAGAGUGCGGUAGGGGAGAUUGGAAUUCCUGGUGUAGCGGUGGAAUGCGCAGAUAUCAGGAGGAACACCGAUGGCGAAGGCAGAUCUCUGGGCCGUAACUGACGCUGAGGAGCGAAAGCAUGGGGAGCGAACAGGAUUAGAUACCCUGGUAGUCCAUGCCGUAAACGUUGGGAACUAGAUGUGGGGGCCAUUCCACGGUCUCCGUGUCGCAGCUAACGCAUUAAGUUCCCCGCCUGGGGAGUACGGCCGCAAGGCUAAAACUCAAAGGAAUUGACGGGGGCCCGCACAAGCGGCGGAGCAUGCGGAUUAAUUCGAUGCAACGCGAAGAACCUUACCAAGGCUUGACAUAUACCGGAAACGUCCAGAGAUGGUCGCCCCGCAAGGUC